RNAcentral lists this ribosomal RNA (468 nucleotides) under uncultured bacterium. RNAcentral's name for it is "partial 16S ribosomal RNA". It matches the Rfam family "Bacterial small subunit ribosomal RNA", at positions 28 to 507 of the family's 1533-position model. The record is from RNAcentral.
GACGAACGCUGGCGGCGUGCUUAACACAUGCAAGUCGAACGGCAAGGCCCUGCUUUUUUGGGGUGCUCGAGUGGCGAACGGGUGAGUAACACGUGUGUAACCUGCCCUUCACUUUGGGAUAACUUCAGGAAACUGGGGCUACUACCGGAUAGCAGCUCCUGCUGCAUGGUGGGGGUUGGAACUUCUCGGCGGUUGGGGAUGGACUCGCGGCUUAUCAGCUUGUUGGUGGGGUAGUGGCUUACCAAGGCUUUGACGGGUAGCCGGCCUGUGAGGGUGAACGGCCACAUUGGGACUGAGGUACGGCCCAGACUCCUACGGGAGGCAGCAGGGGGGAAUAUUGCACAAUGGGCGGAAGCCGGAUGCAGCAGCGCCGCGGGCGGGAUGACGGCCUGCGGGUUGUAAACCGCUUUAGCCUGUGACGAAGCGGGAGUGACGGUAAUGGGUAAAGAAGCACCGGCUAACUACGUG